AGGAGGUUGGCUUAGAAGCAGCCAUCCUUGAAAGAGUGCGUAAUAGCUCACUGGUCGAGUGGUUCUGCGCCGACAAUUCAGUGGGGCUCAAGUACACCGCCGAAGCCGCGGCAAACAUUUUUUGUUUGGGUAGGGGAGCGUCGUGCAUGGGUUGAAGCGUUACCGUAAGGAGGCGUGGACUGUGUGCGAGUGAGAAUGCAGGCAUGAGUAACGAAUUGAUAGGUGAGAAUCCUAUCCGCCGGAUGACUAAGGGUUCCUGGGUCAAGUUCGUCUUCCCAGGGUGAGUCGGGACCUAAGGCGAGGCCGACAGGCGUAGUCGAUGGAUAACCAGUUGAUAUUCUGGUACCCGUACAUGCGCGCCCAUGAUAAAGCACUGAUACUAACCACCGCGGAUGCACUGCUGACACUCUUUGAGUGUUGGUGGUGUUGAUGUCGUGGGGCCUGAUGUGUGGUUCAAGUGAUGGGGUGACGCAGUGAGGUAGCCACGCCACUUAUUGGAUUGGUGGUGUAAGCGUGCAGAUCGUGUGGUAGGCAAAUCCGCCACACAUUUGGUUGAGACGUGAUGCGUAGACCCACAAGGGUUGAUGGUGGUGAUCCUGUACUGUCGAGAAAAGCCUCUAGCGAUGUGUGUGUAUGGCCCGUACCCUAAACCGACACAGGUAGUCAGGUUGAAAAUACUAAGGCGUUCGGGUGAACUGU
This 699-nucleotide ribosomal RNA is filed under the name Corynebacterium sp. ACRPE. RNAcentral describes it as "partial 23S ribosomal RNA". It matches the Rfam family "Bacterial large subunit ribosomal RNA", at positions 1095 to 1702 of the family's 2925-position model. The record is from RNAcentral. Lineage: Bacteria; Bacillati; Actinomycetota; Actinomycetes; Mycobacteriales; Corynebacteriaceae.